Molecule: microRNA precursor, 141 nt
Filed under: Gossypium hirsutum (cotton)
Lineage: Eukaryota; Viridiplantae; Streptophyta; Magnoliopsida; Malvales; Malvaceae
Description: MIR7502 microRNA precursor family
Rfam family: MIR7502 microRNA precursor family
Source: Rfam by way of RNAcentral
UGUUAAAAAUUUCAUCUAUUUGUACUUUUUAAAAUUUAUGUAAUUGAUAAAAUAAUUAGACAAUAACUUAUGACAUUGUGUACUUUAUGCUGACAUGAUAGAACCAGUUUUUAAGAGCAGAAAUAGAUUGCAUUUUUAACA